RNAcentral lists this long non-coding RNA (296 nucleotides) under Lathyrus oleraceus (garden pea). Its description in RNAcentral is "Pisum sativum (pea) long non-coding RNA (PSAT_LNC037206)". The record is from RNAcentral. Lineage: Eukaryota; Viridiplantae; Streptophyta; Magnoliopsida; Fabales; Fabaceae.
UUGUGGUAACGCCUGUAACAGUGGGUGUUUGAGUGUUUGAGGUUUGGGGAUUAGAAGCAGAUUCCAUUUGUUGGGAGAAGUUAAAAACUUCUUGCUCUUGAGCAUUCAUGAAGAAAAUUGAUGAAGAAGAUGAAGAACUGAAGGAGUUGCAGAGAAAACUUCGAGAGAGGGUUUAGGGUUUAAGAGUGAGUGAGAGUGAUAAGUGUGUGAAAUGUGAGAAAAGUGUUUAUAUACCUAAGUAAAAACGCAUGCAAAACGACACACAUACCAGCGUUAGACACAAAACUCAAAAUGGC